RNAcentral lists this ribosomal RNA (117 nucleotides) under Danio rerio (zebrafish). The record is from RNAcentral. Lineage: Eukaryota; Metazoa; Chordata; Actinopteri; Cypriniformes; Danionidae.
AGUCACAGCCAUAUCACCCUGCAGCCUAAAACCGGUUACUCACUAAAGCUAAACAGGGUUGAGCCUGGUCUGUACCUGGAUGGAAGACCACAUGAGAAAACUAGGUUGCUGUUGGAA